This 877-nucleotide long non-coding RNA is filed under the name Fukomys damarensis (Damara mole-rat). RNAcentral's name for it is "lncRNA (ENSFDAG00000032144.1)". The record is from RNAcentral. Lineage: Eukaryota; Metazoa; Chordata; Mammalia; Rodentia; Bathyergidae.
GGGCAGUGCUUCCUACUCUGGCUGUGGGCCUCAAGUCCAAGGAGUUUGACUCAAAUCCACGCUCUUCCACAUGCAAGCAGUGUCCAAGGUGUGCCUGUGUCCCUCACUGGUGCAGUACAGUUGGUACCGCAUGAGGUUCAGAUAGAGCGACAGAGAGGCAACAUAUCAUGUGGCCCACGGAGGUGAAAAUGAUUUAUAUUUAAGGAUGUUGCUGCCUACUUCCAUUACUUUGAGGCAGAGAUGCCUCAGGAUGCAAGAGGUUUUCCUAUCUGCUCAGUCUCAAGAUCUUCCAAUAAAUUUUCUUUUGAGCUCUUUCUUAUCCUCCACAGAGCUAAGAACUGAUCCUUGUGUCCCAAGGCUAAUGGAAGCAAUUUGUAUACCAACCCAAACUGACUGGCCCACUUUUCAAAAUACAGGUAUGAUAAUCUUGUGGUUUUAAAAGGACAUUUAAAUUGAAAGACUGUGAAUUUAGUACAUAAUUAUACCAAUAGAACCCUUUAACUUGUCAACUUGUAAAUCUAAAAGGCUAUCAAUCAUUUCUAAAGAGGAAAUAAACCUUAAAACUCCUUGAUUGACAGUGCUUACUUUUUAUGUAAGAAAAAAAAAAGGCUGCAUAAAGUGGCCAGAAAUCCAUUUACAAAAGUACAUUGUUUUACAUAGGUGAGUAAAAAGCCAAUAAUUACACCCCCAAAAGACACAUAAAGCAGAGUAAGUACUUUUUCCACACUUGUAUAUUUUAAGUUAGAGUGAACUUCAGGUAACUUUUUAUUAAAAAGAUGUUUCCCAAAUGCAGCGCUUACUGACGUUAAUUAAGUUGCAUUUUCAGUUAGGAUAAUAUAAUCAUUUUUGCAAAUUUGAGAGUUAGCCAACCCUCCCC